CGGUCGCCAUGGUGAUGGACAUCCUGGUUGCCAUGGUGAUGGUCGCCAUGGUGACGAGGAUCCUCAUGGU
RNAcentral lists this long non-coding RNA (70 nucleotides) under Coturnix japonica (Japanese quail). RNAcentral describes it as "lncRNA (ENSCJPG00005002657.1)". Lineage: Eukaryota; Metazoa; Chordata; Aves; Galliformes; Phasianidae. The record is from RNAcentral.